Molecule: long non-coding RNA, 1424 nt
Organism: Acanthopagrus latus (yellowfin seabream)
Lineage: Eukaryota; Metazoa; Chordata; Actinopteri; Spariformes; Sparidae
Exons: 3
Source: RefSeq, a predicted model, not a curated record
AAUCAGACAGAGUAGUUCAGAAUUAACCCAUAAAAAACCCCCACAAAAAUAUGCCUUUCCUUUACUCAUCUAUGACAGUAAACUGAAUAUCUUUGGGUUGUGAACAAAACAAGACAUUUGAUAAGUUAUUUUAGGUUUUGGGAAACACAGCUCAACAUUUUUGGAUGUUUUGCGGACCACAUGAAUAAUCGAUAAAUUGCGAAACUGAUCAGCAAAUUAAUGAAAAUUAUCUUUAGUACGGCCCGUAAGCAUACUAAUACUCUGAGCGAGGCAUGACCUUUUCAUAACUUCUUUAAUUCAAACUCACUGAAAUCAAAGGGCUGUUUGUGUUGAUGACAUUCCAGUAAUCUGCCACGCAUUACAUGGCACACAGCUGACAUGAAGAAGUGCAAUAGGUUUUUCAUUUUAAGGCUCAUUUGGUGGUCUGAUUUUAAUCUUGGAAAAUCCAAUGCGGGUUGACAUGAAGUAACAUCUGUCUGCUUUCAUGAAUGGCUCCUUGCAGCCACAUUUAUCAUGAGUGUAACAGUUGCAGAGACCAGAAAAUGGCAGCCUUGUUGUGAGAUGUGUUCCUGAAAUUAAAUUGGAUGCAGUUCUGGAGGAGAAUCAGUUCUGCGUCGUGUUGGGAGUUUUGGUGGGUUAGCAUUCAAGUCUUGUCAAGCUGCCUUCAGCAACAUCGUCUUCCAUUUUUCAGCAUCGCAUAGAAAGAAAUUCAGUAAAAAUACAGCCCUGCUGCAUUUUCUGAGCCAAAUGGCGAAAGGCUUUCAAACAAACUUGAUCAUGACACAGAUUAGUAAAUGCAUUUAAUAUUUUUGUGAUAUUUAUGAUAUUUCAGUUAGUAGCCUAGAGGAAAGGACUCCAUUUAUACAUUUACACCAUCUACUAGUUUUUUCUAGCUAGCUGGUACCAUGUGGGAUGUAGCUCAGCUUUUUGUUGAUCUAUUUCCGUUCACUCUUGUUAAAUGAGCCAACUCAUUUAACUGAAGUUCAACAGAACUAACUUGUUGGGCGUUUAAAUCAUGUGCGCCUAUUUCAAAGUUUACGAUUUACCAUUUGUAUUUACUGUGAAAAUUUCCAUUGCAAUGCUCAAUAUAGUCAAAUGUUUGCUUUUAUCUGCCUGUUAAUUACAUCCUGAGCAAAUUUCCAUUGUAUUCCUCUCAUUUACCAUAAUUCCAUUUGUGACAUUCAAACCAGAAUUCUAAAGCCAUAUUUCUUUUGUCUUUAAGUCUAAACCUCUAAACAUGUAACACUGUGCUACUCCACUAUUGUCCUCUCCUGUCACUGUGACAUGUCAGAGCUUCAUUCAUUUCUCUGCUGCCAUGUGGAAGGACUCAAGCAACGGUUUUGCAAACUGUUCGCACAAUGUAGUGGCCCUGGAUGAAGUAGUUCAGUGCCAGGUGGAGUGUGACUAAGACUGGUAUGAUUAAG